GGAGAGGUGGCAGAGUGGUCGAUCGCGCCGGACUCGAAAUCCGGUUUACUGUUAUGCAGUAACGAGGGUUCGAAUCCCUCCCUCUCCGCCA
This 91-nucleotide transfer RNA is filed under the name Pseudomonadota bacterium. RNAcentral describes it as "tRNA-Ser". It matches the Rfam family "tRNA". From Rfam's summary of the family: Transfer RNA (tRNA) molecules are approximately 80 nucleotides in length. Their secondary structure includes four short double-helical elements and three loops (D, anti-codon, and T loops). Lineage: Bacteria; Pseudomonadati; Pseudomonadota. The record is from RNAcentral. RNAcentral also lists the same sequence under 2 other names.